Molecule: unclassified non-coding RNA, 240 nt
Filed under: soil metagenome
Description: partial contains 5.8S ribosomal RNA, internal transcribed spacer 2, and large subunit ribosomal RNA
Source: RNAcentral
AACGCACGAGACCUGCGGACCUGCGGAGGGAUCAUUGCCACACACGAUCCAAGAUCGACACUUUUUGUGAACUGUACUUUUUCUGGAAUUUUGAAGUGUUUAGAUCUCCUCACGGAGGUUUAAUGUCAUUUUUCAGGAAACUUUUUUAACACCAACUUAAACAAACAUGAUUUAUACAUUGGAACAUAAAUGUUAUAACGAGUUCGUCUCAUUAUAACGCUAGAUUAUUAAUUGAUAAAC